UGGGUUUCAUCCAGGGUCCUGAUUU
Molecule: non-coding RNA, 25 nt
Filed under: Rattus norvegicus (Norway rat)
Lineage: Eukaryota; Metazoa; Chordata; Mammalia; Rodentia; Muridae
Source: RNAcentral